GCUCCCCAGCCUCCGACACUAGCUCUGGGGUCUGCAUCGGAUUGCAACUUUGAAGACACAACAGCUGAGUACCAACAUCAUGGAAGGAGGCCAAGCCCGAUCCAGCGUGCCCACCUACUUGGCUUGGUCCAUUUUAAACACACUCUGCUGCUGUUUCCCUCUCGGAGUCGCCGCGAUUGUUUAUUCCAGCAAGGCGAAUAGUGCGAAUUCUGUGGGAGACUCGGCCACUGCGCAGGAUGCCUCCCGGACCGCCAGGAACCUGAAUAUCGCUGCGCUUGUGUGUGGAGUUAUUCUGUUGAUAAUUAUCAUUGUGGUCCAAGUCCUCAAACAGCAAUAAUACAAGAGGAAGACCGUCCUGGAUCAUCAAAAUCUUUGAGGACAUUAUCUUUCUAUCAUUUCUGCUGCAACCUUUUCUGUAGAGUAUAACCAAAACCAGCUGUACUCUUUUAAUGUAAACACAAGCAGGAACGGGACGCUGCUUAAAAUUUAAAGUCACGGGAAAGAUGGGAUAAAGGGAUUCAUCAUCAGAUAUUGUAAGAGCCAUGUGUAUAGCUUUUAGCUCUUGAAGAUUGUCGCUUAAUUGUCUUUGUGGCUUGUCGCACUGUGUAAUAAAGGCUCACAAAAGUCA
Long non-coding RNA from Megalops cyprinoides (Indo-Pacific tarpon), 628 nucleotides. RefSeq lists it as uncharacterized. The record is from RefSeq and is a predicted model, not a curated record. The transcript has 2 exons. NCBI's taxonomy places the organism in Eukaryota, Metazoa, Chordata, Actinopteri, Elopiformes, Megalopidae.